GGAGACGUUCGACGAUAUUUCUUUCCAAGAACUAUAUGCUAAAAUAUUCAAAUAAUAAAAUUAUAGUAUGUAUAUACCAACCGAAAAUGAUGUUAAAACAAGUUAAGAUAAAAAAAGAAGAAGAAGAAGCUAAUGAUAAAAUGCGAGAGCUGACUUGUGUUUUAAGGAUGCUUCGCUUUUCACCCUUUUACUUAUAAAGUGUUCAGUUCACCCCUGAUUUCCGUGUAAACAAAGUAAUCGGCUUUUGAUAGCUUUAUUGACCGAAGUGUCGCUUAAGAUACGUACAUGCAUGAUUUAGUCUUUUCGCUGGAUCUCUGGAACUGCAUGGCUACACGCAUUAGGCU
Molecule: long non-coding RNA, 344 nt
Filed under: Brassica napus (rape)
Lineage: Eukaryota; Viridiplantae; Streptophyta; Magnoliopsida; Brassicales; Brassicaceae
Description: long non-coding RNA (BNAP_LNC010832)
Source: RNAcentral